CCCCACCCCGCCUCCGCCUCCGCCCCCGCCUCGCUGCCGGGUUUAGCGGCAUGUUGCCCGGCCGCCGCUGCCCGACGGUGGAAGAAGCGUGGCGGAGAAGCUGCUGCCGCCCGCCAGGACUGAGUUAGGUGGAAUAAACAACGGUGGCACUGCCCUGCCCUGCUGGUGCGGUUGUCUUUUGGGGAAGAGUUACUUCUAGCAGGUGCUUAAAAACAGCAUGGGAGCAGUGGUUAUGAUGUGCUGAUACUGGCUGCAAUCACGAUGAAAUUUCAGAGUUCAGAUUACCAUGAUCGUCUAUGUACCUCUAUUUCCAUUGGUGGGAUGACAUCAAGUGGCUUCUGCUACUGUGUGUACUUCAAGCACAAUGCAGCUGUGAACGCCCCAUGCCAGGCCCAGCCCAGAGGUGGAGAAAAGACAAGAUCCUGGUCAAGCGUAAGACAGAAGAGAGACAGAUGUUGGUGGCUAAUAUGGCCUGUUUUCCUCACCCGAGUGACUUCUUUCCCCUUUUCCAACCUUGAAUUCAACAGGAAUGGCAAGUGUGUCUCUCUCAGACAAGUGCAUCUCCCCCUAUUGUCUGCUUGCUCUGCUUGUGCCAGUGGGGAGCCCUGACUGACCAGCUAGUCAGUUUUCUGAGUGCUGCUCAGUUGAGCCUAAUCCCUGUAAUGACCAACGCAGAAUGAAAGUGUUGCUCAUUUACUGUAGGCCUGGUUACUUGGGUGGAAAAGCAUCAAUGCUGGC
This 738-nucleotide long non-coding RNA is filed under the name Apteryx owenii (little spotted kiwi). Its description in RNAcentral is "lncRNA (ENSAOWG00000016971.1)". Lineage: Eukaryota; Metazoa; Chordata; Aves; Apterygiformes; Apterygidae. The record is from RNAcentral.